GAACGAACGCUGGCGGCGUGCCUAACACAUGCAAGUCGAGCGCGAAUGGAGCAAUCCUAGUAGAGCGGCGCACGGGUGCGUAACACGUGGGUAAUCUGCCUCAAAGCCCGGGAUAACCUGCCGAAAGGCAAGCUAAUACCGGAUAAGCCUACGGACUCUUCGGGGUCUGAAGGAAAGGUGGCCUCUGUAUACAAGCUAUCACUUUGAGAUGAGCCCGCGGCCCAUCAGCUCGUUGGCGGGGUAACGCCCACCAAGGCAACGACGGGUAGCUGGUCUGAGAGGACGAUCAGCCACACUGGAACUGAGAUACGGGGCCAGACUCCUACGGGAGGCAGCAGUAGGGAAUAUUGGACAAUGGGUGAGAGCCUGAUCC
This 373-nucleotide ribosomal RNA is filed under the name uncultured bacterium. RNAcentral describes it as "bacterial SSU rRNA". It matches the Rfam family "Bacterial small subunit ribosomal RNA", at positions 27 to 389 of the family's 1533-position model. The record is from RNAcentral.